This is a long non-coding RNA of Spinacia oleracea (spinach), 332 nucleotides long. RefSeq lists it as uncharacterized. NCBI's taxonomy places the organism in Eukaryota, Viridiplantae, Streptophyta, Magnoliopsida, Caryophyllales, Amaranthaceae. The transcript is spliced from 3 exons. The record is from RefSeq and is a predicted model, not a curated record.
AAACCCUAAUAUCUAAGCUAUAAAUACACACUACUAACUCAAUUUGCCGUGCGUAAUUAUGCUGACCAUUAAAAUCCUUCUGCUCCUCUCAAACUCCUCUUGUGCCGUCAACUGAAGUUAUCAUAUUGUAUAGAGAGGGAGACUAUUUAGGAAAUAACGCAAAGAGACUAUUAGUUCAAAGUACGCACGCGUUCAAGGUUGGUAAAGAUACUUGGCUACGAGUGAGGAGACGCUUAGAAUAACCACCUAGUAAAGAGACAAUUUCUAGUUCAGUUUAAGUUGAACUUUGUUAUUUAUUUUAUGAGAAUUGGUUGUAUUAUUUUUAUGGGCCA